This 1298-nucleotide ribosomal RNA is filed under the name uncultured bacterium. RNAcentral's name for it is "bacterial SSU rRNA". It matches the Rfam family "Bacterial small subunit ribosomal RNA", at positions 18 to 1301 of the family's 1533-position model. The record is from RNAcentral.
CCUGGCUCAGGACGAACGCUGGCGGCGUGCCUAAUACAUGCAAGUAGAACGCUGAAGAGAGGAGCUUGCUCUUCUUGGAUGAGUUGCGAACGGGUGAGUAACGCGUAGGUAACCUGCCUUGUAGCGGGGGAUAACUAUUGGAAACGAUAGCUAAUACCGCAUAACAAUGGAUGACACAUGUCAUUUAUUUGAAAGGGGCAAUUGCUCCACUACAAGAUGGACCUGCGUUGUAUUAGCUAGUAGGUGAGGUAACGGCUCACCUAGGCGACGAUACAUAGCCGACCUGAGAGGGUGAUCGGCCACACUGGGACUGAGACACGGCCCAGACUCCUACGGGAGGCAGCAGUAGGGAAUCUUCGGCAAUGGGGGCAACCCUGACCGAGCAACGCCGCGUGAGUGAAGAAGGUUUUCGGAUCGUAAAGCUCUGUUGUAAGUCAAGAACGAGUGUGAGAGUGGAAAGUUCACACUGUGACGGUAGCUUACCAGAAAGGGACGGCUAACUACGUGCCAGCAGCCGCGGUAAUACGUAGGUCCCGAGCGUUGUCCGGAUUUAUUGGGCGUAAAGCGAGCGCAGGCGGUUUGAUAAGUCUGAAGUUAAAGGCUGUGGCUCAACCAUAGUUCGCUUUGGAAACUGUCAAACUUGAGUGCAGAAGGGGAGAGUGGAAUUCCAUGUGUAGCGGUGAAUGCGUAGAUAUAUGGAGGAACACCGGUGGCGAAAGCGGCUCUCUGGUCUGUAACUGACGCUGAGGCUCGAAAGCGUGGGGAGCGAACAGGAUUAGAUACCCUGGUAGUCCACGCCGUAAACGAUGAGUGCUAGGUGUUGGAUCCUUUCCGGGAUUCAGUGCCGCAGCUAACGCAUUAAGCACUCCGCCUGGGGAGUACGACCGCAAGGUUGAAACUCAAAGGAAUUGACGGGGGCCCGCACAAGCGGUGGAGCAUGUGGUUUAAUUCGAAGCAACGCGAAGAACCUUACCAGGUCUUGACAUCCCGAUGCUAUUUCUAGAGAUAGAAAGUUACUUCGGUACAUCGGUGACAGGUGGUGCAUGGUUGUCGUCAGCUCGUGUCGUGAGAUGUUGGGUUAAGUCCCGCAACGAGCGCAACCCCUAUUGUUAGUUGCCAUCAUUCAGUUGGGCACUCUAGCGAGACUGCCGGUAAUAAACCGGAGGAAGGUGGGGAUGACGUCAAAUCAUCAUGCCCCUUAUGACCUGGGCUACACACGUGCUACAAUGGUUGGUACAACGAGUUGCGAGUCGGUGACGGCAAGCUAAUCUCUUAAAGCCAAUCUCAGUUCGGAUUGU